RNAcentral lists this ribosomal RNA (253 nucleotides) under uncultured bacterium. Its description in RNAcentral is "partial 16S ribosomal RNA". It matches the Rfam family "Bacterial small subunit ribosomal RNA", at positions 524 to 776 of the family's 1533-position model. The record is from RNAcentral.
GACGGAGGGUGCAAGCGUUGCUCGGAAUCACUGGGCGUAAAGGGUGCGCAGGCGGCCAAGUGUGUGAGGCGUGAAAGCCCGGGGCUCAACUCCGGAACUGCCUUUAAGACUGCAUCGCUUGAAUCCGGGAGAGGUGAGUGGAAUUCCGAGUGUAGAGGUGAAAUUCGUAGAUAUUCGGAAGAACACCAGUGGCGAAGGCGGCUCACUGGACCGGUAUUGACGCUGAGGUGCGAAAGCGUGGGGAGCAAACAGG